GGGUUGUGAGGUUAAGCGACUAAGCGUACACGGUGGAUGCCCUGGCAGUCAGAGGCGAUGAAGGGCGUGCUAAUCUGCGAUAAGCGCCGGUAAGGUGAUAUGAACCGUUAUAACCGGCGAUACCCGAAUGGGGAAACCCAGUGUGACUCGUCACACUAUCAUUAACUGAAUCCAUAGGUUAAUGAGGCGAACCGGGGGAACUGAAACAUCUAAGUACCCCGAGGAAAAGAAAUCAACCGAGAUUCCCCCAGUAGCGGCGAGCGAACGGGGAGGAGCCCAGAGCCUGAAUCAGCAUGUGUGUUAGUGGAAGCGUCUGGAAAGGCGCGCGAUACAGGGUGACAGCCCCGUACACAAAAGCGCAUGUGCUGUGAGCUCGAUGAGUAGGGCGGGACACGUGGUAUCCUGUCUGAAUAUGGGGGGACCAUCCUCCAAGGCUAAAUACUCCUGACUGACCGAUAGUGAACCAGUACCGUGAGGGAAAGGCGAAAAGAACCCCGGCGAGGGGAGUGAAAAAGAACCUGAAACCGUGUACGUACAAGCAGUGGGAGCACCCUUUUGGGUGUGACUGCGUACCUUUUGUAUAAUGGGUCAGCGACUUAU
This 600-nucleotide ribosomal RNA is filed under the name Salmonella enterica. Its description in RNAcentral is "partial 23S ribosomal RNA". It matches the Rfam family "Bacterial large subunit ribosomal RNA", at positions 1 to 631 of the family's 2925-position model. The record is from RNAcentral. Lineage: Bacteria; Pseudomonadati; Pseudomonadota; Gammaproteobacteria; Enterobacterales; Enterobacteriaceae.